Molecule: long non-coding RNA, 592 nt
Filed under: Cricetulus griseus (Chinese hamster)
Lineage: Eukaryota; Metazoa; Chordata; Mammalia; Rodentia; Cricetidae
Description: lncRNA (ENSCGRG00015040976.1)
Source: RNAcentral
CUUGUGUCAAGUUGACACAAACCAGCCAGUCCACUUGCCUGAAAAAGCUGCAAUCAUAAAGGAGAAACAAACGAACACAAAGAACAGCAUCCAAAAAAAAAAAACUGAGGGUUUCCUUUAAGAAAUAUGGCUUAACUUCAUCCAGCAGCUGGUGGAAGUAAAAGCCGACACCCACAACUAUUCACCGAACUGAACUGGAAUCCAGUUGCAGAGAAGGACGAGUGAAAAGCAAAGGGGUCCAGACCAGGCUGGUGAAACCCACAGAAACAGCUGACUUGAACAUCAGGGAACUCUUGCUCCCCAGACUGAUAGCUGGGAUACCAGCAUGAGACUGAUCCAGCCCCCAGGAACAUGGGUUUCUGUGAGGAAACCUUGGAAAUCUAUGGGAUCUCCUGUAGUUGUUCAGUACUUAUCCCUAGCAUAGGUGUGGACUUUGGGAGCCCAUUCCACAUAGAGGGAUACUCCCUGAGCCAAGACACACGGGGUGGGCCUAGGCCCUAUCCCAAAGGAUGGGAUAGACUCUGAUGACACCCUAUGGAAGGCCUCACUAUCCCUGGGGAACAGAAAGGAUAUGUGACAGGUAGGGUUUUAG